AUGCCUCAUUGAUUUGGUCGCUACCGGACAUGAGGGACGGCUCAACCUGUGGCCACAAUUCAUUUCAAUUUUUUUUGUCCCAAUUUUAUAUUUAUCCUUUGUCUGUUUUUCCACCCCCGUUUUAAACACUUCAAUCCAAACAAAUCAUUCUUCUGCAAUUUUCAAUCUCUAUUAUUUAUUCUUCAAUUGAUAAAUCUUUCUUCUCCAAUUUCCAAUUUCCAAUCUCCUAUCUCUAUCAUCUAUUUUUCAAUCAGGAAAUUGUGUUUUUCUAGAGAAAUGAAUUUUCAUUAAAAGUGUGGACUCCAUUCUUACUUCCAAGCCAUCUCGAGGGAGGCAAAAGAGUAUGAACUUGGAGAAGGAAAAUAUUAUUUGGUAGUGGUUUGGAGUGCAAUUGUUUGGCAAUGUUUCUUCUUGGGUGCAAUUGGAGUCAUUUUCUACUCUUCCUCUCUUCUAUCAGCCAUCAUCAUAACAGUUCUACUUCCCGUCACAGAAGUAUUAGCGGUUAUUUUCUACCAUGAAAAGUUUCAAGCAGAAAAGGGCGUCUCUCUUUUCCUAUCGCUUUGGGGUUUUAUUUCCUACUUCUAUGGCGAGAUGAAACACAACACGAACAACAAGAAUGUUCAGAAUGAUUCACUUCAAACUGAGUUAACUCAAUCUCAUGAAGGUAGCCAAAUGGAGUUGACCCAAACUGCUGCUCCUUGAUCUCUUCUAUUUUAUAUAUACAGUAGUACCAAUACCUAUAUAUUUCUCUAUUUUUGUGUGUUUUUAUUCUCUAAUGACAAAGAAGUUCGACCCAAAAAAUCAUUUAGUUGAAUUACCUCAUCGUAAUUCUUAAGCUAUUAGAGAAUAUGCAUUUAAUAAUCAUAUUUUGUCUCCGUUAAGGAUGUGUCAUUAUCCUUUGAUGAAGAUUCUGGCUCGACGACAUUACAAGGGUUACAAUCACAGUUGAAAGAUAAAAUGAAUCCACAGAAAGGCUUGAGUUGUUGUAAUUUAAAGUUUAUUGUAAUCUUACUUUGCAUUUGUAUCAACUACAAAUACAUAUAAUCAGAUUGAAUGGAA
This is a long non-coding RNA of Olea europaea var. sylvestris, 1059 nucleotides long. RefSeq lists it as uncharacterized. Lineage: Eukaryota; Viridiplantae; Streptophyta; Magnoliopsida; Lamiales; Oleaceae. The transcript is spliced from 3 exons. The record is from RefSeq and is a predicted model, not a curated record.